GUGAUCCGCCCUUCGGGGUGGUGAAAGUGGCGCACGGGUGAGUAACGCGUGGAUAAUCUGCCCGAGGAUUUGGGAUAACAUCUCGAAAGGGGUGCUAAUACCGAAUAAGCCCACGGGGUCUACGGAUCUUGCGGGAAAAGGGGGGGACCUUCGGGCCUCCUGUCCUUGGAUGAGUCUGCGUACCAUUAGCUAGUUGGUGGGGUAAUGGCCUACCAAGGCGACGAUGGUUAGCUGGUCUGAGAGGAUGAUCAGCCACACUGGAACUGAGACACGGUCCAGACUCCUACGGGAGGCAGCAGUGGGGAAUUUUGCGCAAUGGGGGAAACCCUGACGCAGCAACGCCGCGUGGGUGAUGAAGGCCUUCGGGUCGUAAAGCUCUGUCUGGAGGGAAGAAAUGAUUGGGAGCUAAUACCUCUUGAUCUUGACGGUACCUCUGAAGGAAGCACCGGCUAACUCCGUGCCAGCAGCCGCGGU
This 474-nucleotide ribosomal RNA is filed under the name uncultured Geobacter sp. Its description in RNAcentral is "bacterial SSU rRNA". It matches the Rfam family "Bacterial small subunit ribosomal RNA", at positions 68 to 521 of the family's 1533-position model. The record is from RNAcentral. Lineage: Bacteria; Pseudomonadati; Thermodesulfobacteriota; Desulfuromonadia; Geobacterales; Geobacteraceae.